UGGGGAAUAUUGGACAAUGGGCGAAAGCCUGAUCCAGCAAUGCCGCGUGAGUGAUGAAGGCCUUCGGGUUGUAAAGCUCUGUCGGGAGGGACGAAUAGGGUGGUGUAAUGGCCACUUCUGACGGUACCUCCAAAGGAAGCACCGGCUAACUCUGUACCAGCAGCCGCGGUAAUACAGAGGGUGCAAGCGUUGUUCGGAAUUACUGGGCGUAAAGCGCGUGUAGGCGGCGUCGUGAGUCAUAUGUGAAAGCCCUCGGCUCAACCGAGGAAGUGCAUGUGAUACUGCGAUGCUUGAGUGUUGGAGGGGGUGGCGGAAUUCCCGGUGUAGAGGUGAAAUUCGUAGAUAUCGGGAGGAACACCUGUGGCGAAGGCGGCCACCUGGACAACAACUGACGCUCACACACGGAAGCUAGGGUAGCGAAGAGGAUUAGAUACCCAUGUAGUCCCUGAGCGGGCUGGCAAGGCGCAU
Molecule: ribosomal RNA, 468 nt
Filed under: uncultured bacterium
Lineage: Bacteria
Description: bacterial SSU rRNA
Rfam family: Bacterial small subunit ribosomal RNA
Source: RNAcentral